Molecule: long non-coding RNA, 330 nt
Filed under: Gossypium barbadense (sea-island cotton)
Lineage: Eukaryota; Viridiplantae; Streptophyta; Magnoliopsida; Malvales; Malvaceae
Description: long non-coding RNA (GBAR_LNC018822)
Source: RNAcentral
CUUCAGAAGAUAAUUGCUAUUGUUUCCGAGGCUGUAAAGCAAAGCCUAAAGAAGAAGGGAAUGCACGUCCCUCCAUGGCGAAAAGCUGAGUAUGUCAAGGCCAAAUGGCUCUCUCCUCAUAACCGAACCACGCCUUCUCCUUCGCCCACUGUUACACCCACACCCUCAAUUGAAACACCCAAAGAAGUUGAAUUAGAAACCAAAGCUAAAGAGAAAACCCAACCUGAAUUGAACCCCGAAAUGAAAAACUCAGUUGAAGAUUCUGAGUUGGGGGAAUCCAUAUUUGCUUUCUCUGAUAGCUCUGAAGAAGGGAAGGAAGAGGAGAAAGAA